This 494-nucleotide ribosomal RNA is filed under the name uncultured bacterium. RNAcentral describes it as "partial 16S ribosomal RNA". It matches the Rfam family "Bacterial small subunit ribosomal RNA", at positions 28 to 507 of the family's 1533-position model. The record is from RNAcentral.
GACGAACGCUGGCGGCGUGCUUAACACAUGCAAGUCGAACGGUGAAGCGCCUUCCUUUUUGGUGGGUGUGGAUGAGUGGCGAACGGGUGAGUAACACGUGAGUAACCUGCCCCCUUCUUCUGGAUAACCGCAUGAAAGUGUGGCUAAUACGGGAUAUUCUGUGUCUGUCGCAUGAUGGGUCUGGGAAAGAUAUUGUUUCGGUGGGGGAUGGGCUCGCGGCCUAUCAGCUUGUUGGUGGGGUGAUGGCCUACCAAGGCGGUGACGGGUAGCCGGCCUGAGAGGGUGGACGGUCACACUGGGACUGAGACACGGCCCAGACUCCUACGGGAGGCAGCAGUGGGGAAUAUUGCACAAUGGGCGCAAGCCUGAUGCAGCGACGCCGCGUGAGGGAUGGAGGCCUUCGGGUUGUGAACCUCUUUCGCCAGUGAAGCAGGCCUGCCUCGUUUGUGGGUGGGUUGACGGUAGCUGGAUAAGAAGCGCCGGCUAACUACGUG